AGAUCGCGAUUCAAAUGAUGGCUGCGAAAGAUGUAAAAACUUGGAAAAGUUGUUCUCCGAAAAAAUCUCUAAAUUAGCAGAAUUAAUCGAAAGGCAAAACAAGUUCGUUGUUGGUGUUCUGGCGGAGCACACUGUACUUUUGGAGCAGGUGACAAACAAAGAAAAGGGCGCUGCUUCACGAUUUACUCUUAAAACAGAUGAGGACAUUGCAAAAUUAGAGUGUGAAAUAAACGACAUCAACCGGGACUCUUACAUUGCAGCAGUACAAUAUUUGCUCCAGGAGAAGCUUUUGUCUCCAAUAUAAUAUAUAUGGAAUCGCAGGAAAAAAGUGCCUUAAGGACUUUCCCGAGGUGUUAACCGUUUUAAAAAAAGCCAUUGGGAAAACCUCGGUCGAUGCAGAAGCCGAAAUACGGAAGUCUUUCCAAGUCGUCAAAAAACGGCACUUCCGUAUGGUUUCUUUUGCAAAAUCUUAAAUGGAUGCUCUUCGAAAUCUAUUAUUUUUGAAUAGUAUUUAACUUAUUUCAAUUAAUGCAUCUUUCUCGUUAUUUACUUACUUUA
Rhagoletis pomonella (apple maggot) is the source of this 558-nucleotide long non-coding RNA. RefSeq lists it as uncharacterized. The record is from RefSeq and is a predicted model, not a curated record. The transcript has 4 exons. NCBI's taxonomy places the organism in Eukaryota, Metazoa, Arthropoda, Insecta, Diptera, Tephritidae.